GAUAAUUUGCCAGCUUCAUCUACGAAUUCAUGAACCUCAGCCCUACUCCUCACAAUCCUAUGAAACACCUCCCUAACCAGUUGCUGCAACGGCACGAGCCCUUCUUUCAUCUUUCGACAGAUUUCGGCUAGCUCCUCAACCUCCAUUACUAUAUCAGCCGCCUUCUCCUCCUCCAACGAAUAUUGGAACGAGUCAGCAAAAUCGACUUGGGAUUGAGCCACCUUUUCCAUUUUUCG
RNAcentral lists this long non-coding RNA (236 nucleotides) under Olea europaea (common olive). RNAcentral's name for it is "long non-coding RNA (OEUR_LNC011016)". The record is from RNAcentral. Lineage: Eukaryota; Viridiplantae; Streptophyta; Magnoliopsida; Lamiales; Oleaceae.